UGUUCUAUCGCCAAAACGACACAAGAAUAAAACACAAUAUUUGACUUCAUCACGAGAAGAGUCCCUGUUUAAAUAAUCGGGGCGGCUUUUAAUUUGAAAGGGGCAACAGCAGAUGACGUUUAACACAAACAAACCACCUCGCGCAGGGGAUGGCAAUGUCUUCCGGGUAAGAAUAUUUCAUCUGUACACCUGCAGUCAUUUAUGAGAAUUAAUGUAUGUUCAUAUACAAAGUAUUGGAAACUAUUCUUACGACUAAUUUCGAUACGGCCGUGUAAGAAGCUGUAAGCUGCGACCUUAAAGUAGUGGGGAGCCCAAGAUGCAGGAACCAGGAGAGCGACGAGCAGUCCCAGGGUCCCAUAUGGUGGUCAAAUGGUCCCACCUUGUCGGAUUAUAUUCUCAGCCAUCUACUUUUCAGCUCGCCAGCAAGUUAAGUCUUCUUUCCCCUGAAGCAAGAUCCUGAAACCAGCUGGAAGUCAUAGGCCCAGUAAUGAAAAAGGGAGCCACUAGGGCGGCACUAAAGAGCCGCAUGCCACUCGAGAGAUGCAGGUUGCUGACCUCCGGGAUAGAGAAACAGAAGGAGCUUAUUGACUACACCGUCGGACUGCAAUGGUGGACGCGCGCAUAGCACUUUGGGUAAAUCUCUUCCAU
Molecule: long non-coding RNA, 648 nt
Organism: Nerophis ophidion (straightnose pipefish)
Lineage: Eukaryota; Metazoa; Chordata; Actinopteri; Syngnathiformes; Syngnathidae
Exons: 5
Source: RefSeq, a predicted model, not a curated record